AUGCAAGUCGAACGGUAACAGAAAGUAGCUUGCUACUUUGCUGACGAGCGGCGGACGGGUGAGUAAUGCUUGGGAACAUGCCUUGAGGUGGGGGACAACAGUUGGAAACGACUGCUAAUACCGCAUAAUGUCUACGGACCAAAGGGGGCUUCGGCUCUCGCCUUUAGAUUGGCCCAAGUGGGAUUAGCUAGUUGGUGAGGUAAUGGCUCACCAAGGCAACGAUCCCUAGCUGGUUUGAGAGGAUGAUCAGCCACACUGGAACUGAGACACGGUCCAGACUCCUACGGGAGGCAGCAGUGGGGAAUAUUGCACAAUGGGCGAAAGCCUGAUGCAGCCAUGCCGCGUGUGUGAAGAAGGCCUUCGGGUUGUAAAGCACUUUCAGUCAGGAGGAAAGGGUGUGAGUUAAUACCUCACAUCUGUGACGUUACUGACAGAAGAAGCACCGGCUAACUCCGUGCCAGCAGCCGCGGUAAUACGGAGGGUGCGAGCGUUAAUCGGAAUUACUGGGCGUAAAGCGUACGCAGGCGGUUUGUUAAGCGAGAUGUGAAAGCCCCGGGCUCAACCUGGGAACUGCAUUUCGAACUGCCAACUAGAGUGUGAUAGAGGUGGUAAAAUUCAGGUGUAGCGGUGAAUGCGUAAAAUCUGAAGGAAACCGAUGGCAAAGCAGCCCCUGG
Molecule: ribosomal RNA, 674 nt
Filed under: Pseudoalteromonas haloplanktis
Lineage: Bacteria; Pseudomonadati; Pseudomonadota; Gammaproteobacteria; Alteromonadales; Pseudoalteromonadaceae
Description: bacterial SSU rRNA
Rfam family: Bacterial small subunit ribosomal RNA
Source: RNAcentral